GUUCCUAGUUGAAAGCCAACAGGACCGUAUGUACUAAGGUAAAAAAAACGUAUUUUUUAAAUGUUUAUAAGAGUAAUUAUGAAAACGAAAUCAAGUUAGACAUUCUGAAUGAUUUAUUUGUAAAUAUUGACCGGCCAAUAUGUAUACGUAUUUACUAUUAAAAAAAUCAGCUUUCGUUUUUGUUAUGUCAGCUAGGUGGUCUAUUGUUAUUGUAUGUAUUUGUGAUAUAAUUGAUAAAAUACAUACUGCAUUCCACAUUUGUGUUUUUACAUUUGGUUAUGUGGGGUGUUUUAUAGCUUAUUUUAUGCUAUGGAUAUUUAAUUGACCAUUUUUGAUGGUGGAUGGUCAGUGUCAAAUAAAAAUUUAUGUUUGUGUUUUUAUUUUAAAUUUAUAAUGUCCUUGUUUUGAUCAGUGUUUAUUCAUCGACUUAAGCCGUGUUCACAUCGACCUGUUGUCUUCGUAUUAUUCACAUGUAAACUAAACACAAUUUCGUUCCCAUUGAUAAAACUCAAUGUUCAUAUCAAAUUUAAAUAAAUUGUUGUCAACAUUCAGUCGAUGGAUAUUGUAGGCCUUGUGUGGUCUACGUGUACACAAAACUGGCUAUAUAGAACAUGAAUUUACCGUGUCUAUUUAAAGAAGAAACGAUUUUUUAAUUUAUUUGAUAUUUAUCGCUUCUGUGUGUGUUGAAUUGUUUUUUUUUUUUUUUUUGUUGUUGCACUUUAGUGUUUCUUUGUUUUCCUUUUCUAUUUUAUGUAUUUCCCGAAAUGUUAGUUUAUGACCCGGAGUUGGUUUCUCUCAAUCGGUUUGUGACUUUCAAACACCGGUUUACUACUGUUGCCUUUAUUGAAUUAAAUUAUUUACAGUAUAAUUUGUCUUAACUUGAUAUAUUGCUUUUAUUAGAAAAUAAAACCAAAGAUAGCUAGCCUUAUUAACCCGUUAUCAAGACCCGAAGCAUAAUUGUUGCCAAACAUAAUUCAUUUGAAAAGGUCUUCCCUUAUAGACGUCAUUUAAAUGUUUGCCACUGGUCUUUACACAAUAAUUGAUUUACUUAUACAUUUUGUAAAUGCAUUAAUUAAAAGAGUGUGCGGUAAAUUGUUUUGUUUGGCUAGUAUCUCAUAUCCGGUAAAAUGUACUUAGAAUAAAAAAGCAUUUAUUUGCAAUGUACGAACUAUUAUUUUAAAGCCAAAGUCGUAGUAUUUAUUUUUUUUCUGAAUCAAUUUUUUUUUCGCGCGAACCAUUUAUUCAGUGAAACACAACACUGAAUUACACGUUUGCGCGACAAAAAGUUUCGUCUCUAUCAAUCAUUUUUUUCUUCAGUAUUUGGGAGUUGAAUGGUGGUUUCAUUAAUUCUAGAAAAAUUGUCCAGAAAUUUGCGUUCGACUUUAUGUACUGAUAUUUAAAUGACGUAUAGUUUACAAGUGUAAGCAAAUCUAACGUACAGGUAAUCAACACAGCUGUAUAGAUGUGAACAAGUUUAAUGUGAAACCAGUGUACAUUACAUUCAUUACAUUUAUCCAAUUGUAAAAAAGAAGAUGUUGUAUGAUUGCCAAUGAGACAACUAUCCACAAAAACCCAAAAUGACACAGACAUUAACAACUAUAGGUCACCGUACGGCAUUCCACAAUUAGCAAAGCCCAUACAGCAUAGUCAGCUAUAAAAGGCCCCGAUAAGACAAUGUAAAACAAUUCAAACGACAAAACUAACGGCCUUAUUUAUGUAAAAAAAUGAAAAACAAAUAUGUAACACAUAAACAAAAGACAACCACUGAAUUACAGGCUCCUGACUUGGGACAGGCACAUACAUAAAUAAUGUUGCGGGGUUAAACGUGUUAGUGGGAUCCCAACCCUCCCCUAACCUGGGACAGUGGUAUAACUGUUAACAUGUUUACUGUACAUGGCGUUCGGUGUGAACACGGCCUUAUUCGGGUCACAGUAUUUGUGAUUAAAACUAAAAUAAAAUUAUAAUCAGAAACAAAUAAUUACUGACGGAUCAAGGUAGGAACGUAGAGUGCGUAAUAGAAUAAUUUUUUAUGACAUUUUCGUCACCACUACAAACAAUUAUGGCCCGGUCCCCCAUUUCUCUCAAGCCUUUAUCUUCCCCCGACAGUGUAUUAACAUGCAUGUUUAUUAACAAUAACAUACAUAUACAAUAUAUGUAUGUUGUCGGAAAAUAUAUAAUUUAUUUGUAUGAGCUUUAGAAAAAGGACGAAAAGCGAGGCUCUGCCGAGCUUUUGUCCUGAAUCGUAGCGAGUACAAAUGUAUUUUAUAUUUGCCGGCAAUGUACAUAUAUUGUUUUAACCUUUAAUUACUCCCAACACUUGAAUCUGUAGUUAUUAAAAUCAAAAUCAUUGUCUUUAAUGUUUCGAAGAAAUCGACAUCGUUGAAACGCUGAUCGCGAAGAGAACCCCAAAAUGAACUGGUUUGAAAACAGAAAUGUUCAUAUUGCCACUUGCUCAGCAUGUAAUUGGGGUCACAUGAGACUUUAUUUGUACAAUUACUAAUAAAGCAAACAUUUAUUUGUAUACCUGUUAUUUGUACAAUAGAUGGCUAAUUGCAGGAAAAACAGCGGUAGUGUUGCCAGGGAGAAAACUAUUUGUAAAGGUGUACGGCUCAAAUAUAUUCAAUGAGGACAUAUGAGUUGAGAAGUUAUUUUUGUUUUCCGCAAAUUUUGGAAACCUUUUCAGAACAGUUAUAUGAAACACGUUUUACGCAGACUAAAAUCAUUUGCUAUCGAUCCUGGCCGCUCGAAAUAUUAUUUAAAGAAUUAAUUUAUCAAAAGCCGAACUCCCUGUCGAAUUAAACUCAGAAUCUUGAAUAGCAAACAUGUUUUAAGGGGAAAUAAGAUACCACUAAAUUGUAAACGCCUUUGAUGUUAACAAUUCUCUUCUUGACUCUAGAGCUUGGCCCGAGUAAAAGUUCACCAGGACUAAUCCAUCUUAAACCUUAGAUCGAAAAUAGGGAGAAAAAUGUUGAGGACAUCAAACAACAAUUCUUUUAUGUCUUGAUGGGGAAAGAUGGACCCACUUUAAAGAGAAAUAAUUAUUAUCGAAGGUUCCACGAAAAUUUUUAGUGGUAACAAGUGGUAUAAAUCGUAUGAUCCUAAACCUUUGAACUCAUUGACGUGUAGCUUGAUAAGGAUCGAGAUUACUAUUACUAUAAACUUGUUUUGAGAUGAACUUGAAUAUUGAUAUAGCUAUUUUGAGUAUUUUAACAAAUAAGUCUAAAACAAAAACGUUUAAAGCCUGAUAACAAUGCAAAUAGGUCAGACAGAAUACAAAACUAUCAUUACUAAUUAGUAUCAGCAUAAUGUCUAACGAACAACUGCUGCAUGUUAUUUAGUACAUGUAGAUUUUAAUUACUUCUUUAUUUUCGAAUUCAAGGGCACAAAAUGUAACCGUCUCCUUCAUCUACAUAUUGACAAAUAUUUUCAACAAAACAGAGUAAUUAUGGAACUUCUAAAACUUUAAACAAGUUAUUUUGUAGACCGGGAAAGGCGUUCUAAUCAAUUAAUAGCUAUAUUUGCAUAAAUAUUAUUUUGCAGUUUUGUGAUAUGGCCUCAUAUUCCCAAAGUUGUGGUGUGUGUGACCUCCGACACAUCAACAAACCAUCAAUAAUCUGGUGUACGGAAUGUGAUGAAGGGCUUUGUCAAGAUUGUCAGGAACACCAUGGUUUGUCCAAGGGAACCAGAAACCAUCACACCAUAACAAUAAAGGAAUAUAAAACAUUACCAAGUGAAGUACUUACAAUCACUCAAUACUGUAGCACACACAAAGACAAAUUUAUAAUGUAUUGCCGGAAACACGAACGUCCCUGCUGCAGAAAAUGUAUAGUUGAAACUCAUAAAGAAUGCCUGGAUAUCGAUAAUUUAGAAGACGUCAUUAAAAAUGUAAAAACCUCAAAUGCCUUCCACGAUAUUGAAGAAACAUUGGUUGAAGUAGCAGAAAAUUUAAAGAAAAUCAGUCAACAUCAGCAGAAGAGUCUGUUGAAUUUGAAAGAAAAAAGAAAACAAAUUCAAAAAGAAAUUCAAAAGACCCGUACAACAAUCAACAACCAUCUGGACAAAUUACAAGGAGAUUUGAUAAAACAACUUAAUUCUAUUGAAGAAACCCAGAACUCGAAAAUUUGUCAGUUGUUGUCAUCACUUGAACAGAGAGAAAAAGAAAUAACUAGAUACCAGCAAAACCUUGCAAGCAUUAAACAACACGCCUCAGACCUUCAGAUUUUUCUUUCACUUAAGCAAAUCGAACAAGACAUUAAUAUACAUGAUAAAUUCCUACAAACCGUAGUGGGAGGUGAGAAAUUGAAGCAAGGUCAUCUAGAAUAUAGAACCAACAUUGCUAUUCAAGAUAUCAUGUCCAAUAUCAAAAGUUUUGGAGAAGUACAGAUUGAAACUAAACCAUGUGACAUCGUUCUUAGCAGGAAGAAGACUAAACAAGCACAGAUAAUGGUACCAAACGUUCAAACAAGAUCCAUUGAGAAUAUAAAGCUGGAGAUGCACAAAAAAGCAGUAGCAACUGAAGGAAGAAACGUCUACGGGUGUUGCCUUAUACCAGAUGGUAGAAUGGCUUUUACUUACUACUAUGAUUGUGCAGUUAGAGUUUUCAGUGAUAAAGGAUCAAAAGACUUUGAGGUGAAGAUGCCGUGUACAGUAAACGAUAUACUGUAUAUUAGUAAGGACGAUUCAUUAGCCGUAUCAUCUGGUGGUUCAAGUCAGCAUUGUAUUUUUAUAAUAAACGUUAAAAGAAAACAAAUCACGAAAACAAUUACACUUGACUCGUAUAUUUAUGGCAUAGCACUUAGAGAAAAUAUUUUAAUAUAUUCUGCUUAUAACAAAGGAAUCCGAAUGAUCAAUCUUUCCGAUGAGUCAAUUACUCAAAUAGUCCAAGAUAUAAUGCCAGAUAGUUGUUACAUUGCAACGUUUCGGAACCAAAUAUAUCACACAAACUCGGUAACACAUGCUGUUACUUGUUACGAUCAACAAGCUAAACCGCAAUGGACAUUCAAAAAUAAAAACUUUCUGAAGCAUCCUCAUGGUAUUGAUGUAGAUAUUGAUGGUAAUUUGUAUGUGGUUGGUAAGGGAUUCGAACAAUGUUGUAGUUAUCUCCCCUGACGGACAACGCUAUAGAGAAGUGUUAGCAGCAAGUGAUGGGCUUAAUGUUCCUACUUCACUUUGUUUUAAUAAUUCAAAGAAGCAGUUGCUAGUGACUAACUGGAAAAAUGAGGCCCGACUGUAUGCUUUGAUUUGAAAAGUCUUUUUAAUUAUUUAUUAUCUUUAAUUGUGUAUCGUCACAGCUACACAUUUUUCGAUGAAAUGAUUAGUUUGACAGUUGACAUAAAUUAUGUUAUGAAAUCAUCUUGAUGUUUAAAAUAUGUUUUUAUUAGAUUUUUCAUAAACAAAAUAAUACAUAAAACAGAA
This 5415-nucleotide long non-coding RNA is filed under the name Mytilus galloprovincialis (Mediterranean mussel). The record is from RNAcentral. Lineage: Eukaryota; Metazoa; Mollusca; Bivalvia; Mytilida; Mytilidae.